CCCUUCGGGGAGCCGUGAGACAGGUGCUGCAUGGCUGUCGUCAGCUCGUGUCGUGAGAUGUAGGGUUAAGCCCCGCAACGAGCGCAACCCUUGCCUUUAGUUGCCAGCAUUAAGUUGGGCACUCUAGAGGGACCGCCGAGGAUAACUCGGAGGAAGGUGGGGAUGACGUCAAAUCAUCAUGCCCCUUAUGCUUAGGGCUACACACGUGCUACAAUGGGUGGUACAGAGGGUUGCCAAGCCGCGAGGUGGAGCUAAUCCCUUAAAGCCAUUCUCAGUUCGGAUUGUAGGCUGAAACUCGCCUACAUGAAGCUGGAGUCACUAGUAAUCGCAGAUCAGAAUGCUGCGGUGAAUGCGUUCCCGGGCCUU
RNAcentral lists this ribosomal RNA (366 nucleotides) under uncultured bacterium. Its description in RNAcentral is "bacterial SSU rRNA". It matches the Rfam family "Bacterial small subunit ribosomal RNA", at positions 1016 to 1382 of the family's 1533-position model. The record is from RNAcentral.